GAGUAACAAAGCACCAAUAACAUUACAUCAAAACACAGCUUGGUGAGAACAAAUAAUCAUUAAAAAUCCUAAAGAGAGCUAAUCAGAGCCGUAGAUUGGCUGAUAAAAUUUCAAUCUUUCUUCUGAAAGCUAAUCAAAGCGUGUUUUUUUAUAAAGGAUCAUCCUGAUAAUGAUCGCAAUAUAUGUGUUUUCAUUAAUUAAUCUAAACCCCGCAAAAUCGAUCAAUAAUUCUUCCGAAAUACAUUAAACAAGAACGCAAGGCCUUCAAAUUUACACUCGCCGCAUCUCAAAACAUCGAACGACACAACCCCAAAAUUAGGGUUUUCGAUCCCACACUGCAUCGAAUCACAACAGAGCUAAAACUCACACCUAAAAUCCACAAUCCACCGAAAUACAUACAAAAACAGAUAAAUCCAAUUAACCUGAUUGAUGAGGCGCCUCAGUGCCAUCUUUCUCCAAUAGCGACAGCAGACGCGGAAAAAUGAAACCCAGAAGAGAUGAAAAUAUUAAUUAAAACGAAAAAAACACACACUCCUCAACUCCUCUUUUCUGUUGUUAAUCUGGGCGCCGAUUGGAGAGCGCGCAUAAAUUGAUCCAAAAUGUGAAGAAGAGAGAGAGAGACGCAAAGAGAGGGAGAGGGAAGGCGAGAACAAUAUCGAUAUUAUUUCAGAAAUUACACACUGCUUGUUGCUAAAAUGUGCACCGUGUUACAAUGCGCACCUGUAGAUGACUAACGCAUUAUUUGGGACUUUUUAAUUUCUAUUUUUUUCUUCUUUGUUUUUGGGGGAAAAAUGGACUUCUUCACCAAAUGAAUUAUUCAAAUACAAUAUUUUAAAAUUUUAUUCAAUAGGUCACUUGUUGCAAAUCCAAAUUACAUUCCCCAAAGAAAAGUUACGUUACCAAAAAAAAAAAUAUGGUCUCUUGUACACUAACACUAAUAUAAAUGACACUAACACUAAUAUUAUAUUAGAAUGAUACUAAUAUUAUUUUAUUUUACAAAUGACNUAGCAGCAACAAACUCACCUCUACUCCUUUGGAGAACUAAUCAAUUCCAGUCAUCGGGCAAAAAGGCGGUAUCAACUCCAUAACAUAAACAUAGUUAGAUUACAUAGAAUUGUACAUGAACUUUAAUUUUUAUACACAGUAUAACUUUCAAAAUUUAGUUCCAAUUUCUUUUUUUGUUUGUUGUUGUUUCAAAAUUGCUUUAUGCCGUUGAUAUUGAGAGCUACUGAAAGUGGACUAUUUUGCUGAUUUUUGGGAACAUAUUAUAUUAAAUGAUGAGUGAUUUCAAUUGGGGGUUAGGGUUUGGUAUUUUCUAGAGCAGCAAUAGUUCAAGAUAGGUUCAUAAUUUUGAUUAAUAGCAAUUGGGGGUUAGGGUUUGGUAUUAUACAUUUGUGUUGAUGUUGUGUAUACAUCUAAGCACACCUUGUUUUGAUGCUAAUUCGUUGCUUUACAUACGAGAUAUCCAGGUAUAGAUGCGACCGUAGCUCUAAUUGUUGGCUGAGUGUGUCUAAUUCUAUGCUCCCUUUUAUGUUGUUGUUGUAUAUAAAUCUAAGCUUGCCUCGUUUGAUGCUAACUCGUUGCUCUACAUUACCCAAUACCCAGGUAUAGAUACGGUUUUGGUCGAAGCUAGCAUCGUAUGGCGCAUGCCGCUUUGGUGUCUUGCUCUUUAAACCUCUCCUUGGGCAGCAGGUCGUGCAGCAAGCCUUCGACCCAUCUUACACCCUCUGCAUCUGUGAGUUUACGGAUUUCUGGAUCACCGUUCCAAAGGAUUCCUCUCAAGGUCGAUAAAAGGUUGCAGAGAUGCUGGACUGUCUAUGCUAUGGCUGUUUCGAUGGGUCAAGAAACGAGGGUUCAGCCUGGAUCAGGGUCCGAUCACAGCUCUAACGAAGCUUCCUCGCCAAAGAAGGUCAUGGUGAUCGGUGGUGAUGGCUAUUGUGGUUGGGCUACUUCGUUGCAUCUCUCGAACAAGAACUACGAGGUUGCUGUUGUUGACAAUCUCGUCCGUAGGAGUUUCGACCACCAGCUAGGUCUUGAUUCCCUCACUCCCAUCGCGUCCAUCCACAACCGGAUCAGGCGAUGGAAGUCCCUCACGGGUAAAGAUAUCGGGCUCUACGUUGGAGACAUAUGCGACUUUGAGUUCUUGUCGGAGGCCUUCAAGUCGUUUGAGCCCGAUGCCGUCGUCCACUUCGGGGAACAAAGGUCCGCUCCGUACUCCAUGAUUGAUCGGUCGAGGGCCGUGUACACGCAACACAACAACGUGAUAGGCACCCUCAACGUUCUCUUCGCCAUAAAGGAAUUCGGGGAGGAUUGUCAUCUUGUGAAGCUCGGGACCAUGGGAGAGUAUGGGACCCCGAACAUAGACAUCGAGGAGGGGUUCAUCACGAUCACUCACAAUGGGAGGACCGACACUUUGCCCUACCCGAAGCAGGCUAGCUCAUUCUACCAUCUCAGCAAGGUGCAUGACUCCCACAACAUCGCGUUUACUUGCAAGGCUUGGGGGAUCAGAGCCACGGACCUGAACCAGGGGGUCGUCUAUGGAGUGAAAACCAACGAAAUGGCCAUGCACGAGGAACUAUACAAUAGGUUGGAUUAUGAUGCGGUGUUUGGAACCGCGUUGAACCGAUUCUGCAUUCAGGCUGCGGUCGGUCAUCCGCUCACCGUCUAUGGCAAAGGAGGGCAGGUAAAAAUUUCACCUAUAUAUAGCUCCUGAGUUUGGUUUGGUUUCGUUCGUGUUCAUGUUUGUGUUUCUCUUUGUUGUUCUAGUUUGUUAAGAGGUCGCUCGUUUCAUGUUAUUCGGAUAAGUGAACACGAACGCUCGGGUCACGAGCAAGUCAUGUAUCACUCCACACAUCGAAGGUUUCAAUAGGAUUUAGAGUUUAGGGCUUACAUAAACGGCCACAUAUAUCGUAUAUUCAUAUGUUUCAUUGAUACGAAACCAUAGUUUGCAUUCGUAUUAAUGAAAUCAUGGCACCCUUUCGCCCGAAUUUUAUGCUUACGGAACAUGACAACGCGUUGCACUGCUUGUUUUUGCUUGAUCGGAACGCGUUGUUUUGGCUUUGAUGCUUCUUGAUGACAAUGUGUUGUGGUUCUUAUUGCUUAUUUUUGUUUCUCCGUGCUGAUUUUCGUUCAAUCUGCGACGUACAGACCCGAGGAUAUCUCGACAUACGGGACACGGUCCAAUGUGUUGAGCUCGCCAUAGCGAACCCGGCCCAGAGGGGCGAGUUCCGCGUCUUCAACCAGUUCACGGAGCAGUUCUCGGUGAACGAGCUCGCCGCCCUCGUCACAAGAGCCGGUAAGAAGCUCGGCCUCGACGUUCGUACGGUGUCCGUGCCCAACCCUAGAGUGGAGGCGGAGGAGCAUUACUACAAUGCCAAGCACACGAAGCUCGCGGAAUUGGGACUCCAGCCCCAUCUCCUGUCGGACUCUCUCCUCGACUCGUUGCUUAAUUUUGCGGUCCAAUACAAGGACCGCGUCGAUCCCAAGCAGAUAAUGCCGAGCGUCUCGUGGAGGAAAACCGGAGCUAAGCCGAAGACUGUCCCCGCUUAGUCGAACUUUCUCUGUUUCCCUUGUAGGUGUAGGAACUGUUGUAUCUUUAACUGUAGACAUUAUCAUAUACUCCCUCCGUCCCCAAAAUAAGUUCCUCUUUGGGGACGGCACGGGUUUUAAGGAAAAAUAUUAAAGUGUAUUGAUAGUGGAGAAAAAUAUGUUAUAAUUAGUAUUGGGAGUGGUGAAAAGAUGAAAAAGUAUUAUAAUUAGUAUUGGGAGUUGUGAAAAAGUGAAAAGUAAGAAUAAAUAAAGUAUUAUUAGUGGUGGGGUAGGUGUCCAAAAAUGGAAAGAAAGAAAGAGGAACUUAUUUAGGGGACGUCCCAAAAAGGAAAAAGAUGAACUUAUUUCAGGGACGGAGGGAGUAUAUCAAAAGGCUAUUUAACAUUCAAUGUAACAUUGAGGAAAUUAUCAACUUUAUUAUUUCAAGAAAUUGUAUGAAUAGAUUGUUUGAAACAUCAAAUUUUGUAAUGUUAUAUAUAUGCAGAGAAUCAGAGCCGGGGAGUCGGACGCGCGACCGCCUCGUUUUUACGCAGACGCGUCGACAUGAAACGCAACACGACGUCGUUGAGCAGAGCUUGAUGCUUGGUGAACUCAUGAUCAGCUCCUUCGACUAUACAUAGAUCGUGAUUUCGGAUGUUCUUGUCGAAUUCCGUUGCGUCGUCUACCGGAACCAUCUCGUCUAACGUGCCGUGAACCGUUAGUACGCUGUAAACAUAUUGCAAAUUCAGAUAAAUGUCGUGUUAUUCCCAGCAACGAUUAACCCUAAAAAAUAAGUAACAAGUCGAUGGCUUCCGAACCUGCAGUUCGGAGGGAUGGAUCGACACGCAGCACGAGGGUCCGUCUCCAGACGGUCCUUCAAGCUCGCCUCCGUCACCCGAUACUCAGUUUUCCCUGCAGCAUGCGUAUAAAUACACAAACUUAGCCCAACAUGCGAAACAACACACGACAGGAAACGAUUCAAACACACAUUACUACCUCUUCUAUUUCUCACGUCGAUGAAUCCGUAUUGCUUGAUCUUCUCUUGGAAGUCUUUCCCCAGGCGGCCUUCGAUCCUCGCCUCAGAUCAAAGCGGCCGGCUAUGUUGACGACUGUUUGACGUCGUUGUACUUUGAGGCGUACAAGAGAACGGCAUUCCCUCCUACAUCAUCAAAGGCAGUUUUAGCUUUGCUAGAAAACCUCGUUCAUCGAUAAAUUAAGACAAUCAAGAUUACAUUUCAUGGCAUCCUAGAGCUCGAUUAUAAGAAGCUACACCGUAAGAUCCAAGAUCGUACGAGCCACUGCAGCUACGGAGGCAACAACAUGCCACACAAUGCAAGAAAACCGUGUACCUUUACUAUGGCCAACAACGGCCACUAUGCAACGUUGGUUAGCCUUGAAGUGCUCGACUACAGCACGUACAUCUUCAGCCUCUCUACGGUAAUUGCCAUAUUGGAACGAACCUUCGCUUUCCCUAAAUGGCGCAUAAGAUAAAUGUGAACACGGCACGACAAGAAAAAGGUUAAGCCCUAUGCCAUAGUUUUCGAGCAUUUACUUACCCGUUGCCAGCAAAAUCAAAGCGGAAGGCGCUGAUUCCCUCCCUCUCGAAGGCGAGAGCAAGGUUCGCCAUGGGAAUGCGAUCCUGCAGUUGGUAGAGAGAAACAAAACCAAACUAGAAAUAAGGAAACUGGAAAAAAGUUUUACGUUCUAAUAUGAUCCGAGAAUCGGCUGCAAGAUCAUGCACCUUUGUGGACCGGAAUCCAUGGCAUAUAACUACGAGCUCACUCGACCCCGUUUCGUGCAGUAUCCCGACUAGCUUCUCGCCAUAGCUGUUCUCUAUAAACACUUUCUUGCUCUCCACUACUAGUAACAGAUGAUAUGAGAGAGAUAGAGAAGCCAUAAUAAUAAGUACUUGAAAUAACAAUACUCAAGCAUAACAACUAAUCAAAGAACUCUCAGCUGGAGAGAAAUCAAAUAACAAUACUCAAAAAUAAGAACUCUCUCUCUCUCUCUCUCUCUCUCACACACACACACACACACACACACACAGCAAUAACAAGUACUGGAAAUAACAACUAAUCAAAGAAUUUCCAGUGGUAGAGAAUCACACACACACACACACACACACACACACACAGCAAUAACAAGAAUUGGAAAUAACAAUACUCGAAAAUUAAUUAAACUAAUCAAAGAACACCAGUUCCCCCAAUUCCCAACUAAAAAUUUAAAGCUAAAACAUCAAUAACAGAUUUCAAAAACUAAAACAAAAACACACAGAAACCAGAUUAUCAAAACUGAUCAAUGAUCACCUCUUUCAAUAAGCAACUUAUGGAAUCAGGGAGUAAACAAUAAGACCGCAUAUAAAAUAAAAAUUCAAUCUUUGAGCCAGAAAUAGAAAACCCACAUCAAAUAAUUAAUGAAGGAGCUAAUUUGUUCAAUAGAGACACUAAAGGGCCUCCUUCUCCUGCUACUUUUGCUGUGACAUUCAAUUUUCUGAAAUGUUAUUGAACUAAUUAAAUUCCACAAUUUCAUAUACUUAUUAAGUAAAUUAAAACCCUUCUUGUGUUUUCUGCUGCAGAAAAUACUAACCUGGAGAUUUGGGGUGUUGAUUCUGUUGGCUUUCCGACAUCGGAGAUUCGGAAUCAGGAGAUAAAUUUCUGUUAUCGCGUUUUGCGCCACCACGCUUCUCGUCGCAAUUAAUUAUCGUCAUUUGUCAAGGGAAAUUAAUGAAUGAAGUAGGAAUUUUCUUCUUUUUAGACAGCAUUUAUUAUGAAAUUAACUCUUCAUGAAGGAGCUGAUAUGUUCAUGGAAAAACACUUCUGAUUAUAUUUUUGCUAAUAUGUUUUCCUUGCUCAUUUUAUUAAUAAAUGCAAAAAAAAAAAAAAAUUUUACAAUAAUUCUCACUUCAUCUCAUUUUAAUAGUCCACGUUGCUUUUUUUGCAUACGUAUUAAAAUAAUACAAUUAAUGUAAUUUGAAAAAUAUAAUUUAUACGUAAUUUUCUUAUUUUACCCUUGUUUAUUGUUCUAUAUAUUAUUUUCACACAUUAAAUAAGAUUAUUUCAGUAAAAAAAAUAUGAAUACAAUUUAAAUAUAAAAAGUAGAUUACAUCUUGACAUCCCAAAAAGGAAUAAGGAAUUAUGAAAUUGGAACAGAGAGAGUACUAAUCUUUAUAUGUAAUUAAAUUAUAAUUAUGAUAAUAAAUUAUAACUACAGAUAAAUAAAUUAUUAAUUAAAAAUUACUAGAGUCUAAUUAAUAAUUGCAAAAUUUUGUGGUGAUGCAAAAGAAAUUUCCAUACAUUCUGUAUUAGAAUUAGUAUUUCUCACUAAUACAUUAUUCUUCUUCGAGACAUGAUGUUAACUUCUCAACAACACAACGAAACAACAAUCUCUUCACUGAAAUUAUUUUUAUUCUCAAAAAGAAUAAAUUAUUUUCAUUCUCUUUCAAAGCUUUAUUUCAAAUGAGAUUUCUCAUCCAAGUAAGAAGUGAAUCUUUUUUUUAUCCAUAUAGAUUUGCCAGCAUUCAUAAUUCAAGAAAUGCAGCCCCCAACUCCAUCUAAUCGAGUUUAUGAUCCAAGUAUAAUACAUUCAAAUGAAAAAUUAUUUAAUUUGAGGCUACAACACUAAGUUCAUCAUCUCCUACAAACCUACCCCAUCAUUUCUUCAAUCAAUGGAGUCUCUUCCGCAGCAACUAAGCAACAAAAGUUUCAGCAUGUGUAAUUUUAACCAUAUGCACAAUCGAACGCUCAACAUCUCUUACCAACGUCUUCUAGGUCGAGCACGAGGCCCGGUUAAGACCCCACCGGGGCGGGGCCUUUUGUUUGGGCUGCGGCCGUUGCAGCCGAUGCGCGGCGUGCUGCUGCAGCGGCUGCGCGCAGCAGGAUUGGGUAGCGACGGGGGAGAGGGCUUUGAUGGGGGACUACUCUGCACGGCGAUGGCCUGCUGCUGCUGCUGCUGCUGCUGUAUCUUGAGAGUUCAUCUGCGCGAGUAGGUCCUUGAUUUGAGCCCCCGAGAGCGUCUCCUUUUCGAGCAAGGCGUUGGCGAGGGCGUGCAGCUCCUUCUCGUGCGUGGUGAGGAUGGUCUUGGCGUUGUCGUAAGCUGUUUCGAGGAGUUCCCUCACUUCCUUUUCGAUGAGGAGUCGGGUAUCGGUGCUCAUGCUCCUACCGUUGUCGUUGUAGUUGUGAGUGACGACGCCCACCUCUUUGCUCAUGCCGUAACUGGUCACCAUUGCUCUUGCAAGUUUGGUUGCUUGCAAGAGAUCGCUUGAUGCGCCCGAGGUCACCUCACUUUCCCCGAAGAUCAGCUCCUCCGCGACCCUACCGCCCAUGCAGACAUCAAGAUCGGCAAGCAUCUGCUUCCUCGAUACACUGGUCUCGUCUUUGUCGGGCAGCUGAGAGACCAUCCCAAGAGACAUCCCACGUGGAACGAUAGUCGCUUUGUGCACGGGUAAUGCUCCAUCUGUGUGUAUGGCUACGAGGGCGUGACCGCCCUCGUGGUACGCUGUCAGCUUGCGCGAUUCAUCAGAUAUAACUGCUGAUUUGCGCUCGCUUCCCAUCAAGAUUUUAUCCUUGGCAUGUUCAAGAUAAGCCAUAGUCACUGCUUUGGCACCAUCCAUCGCAGCCUUGACAGCAGCGACAUUCACCAAGUUCGCAAGCUCCGCACCAGAAAAACCCGGGGUUCCUCUUGCGACGAUACUUACAUCGACGUCGUCUCCCUUCAGAACCUGUGAGAUGACAUACAAAGUUAGAACUGUCUAUCAUGCAUAUAUAUUCCACAUUAAUUUUACAAGAGAAACAAGAUAUUUAGUAGAAUUCAUGACGAAUUAUCAUGAUAGAUAUGACCAUAUAUGAAGCUACUGCCAAUUUAAGACGUUGCGGAUCUCCACAAUAGAAGACAUAUUCACAAAUCAGCAAACAAGAGAUGUGAAGAACAUAUCAAAAGCCUAAACAGAAAAUUCCAGCCUGAACCUUGUUACCUUUGACAUGUAAAACUCCAAGAUCUGCCUCCGCCCUUCAACAUCAGGAUUUGGAACGACAAUAUGGCGAUCAAAUCUUCCGGGUCUCACCAGUGCUUUAUCCAAAGACUCUGGAAAAUUGGUAGCAGCUAUCACAAUAAUCCCUUCAUUCUGUUUAAAGCCGUCCAGCUCAACAAGCAACUGGUUUAAGGUCAUCCUCAGGUGCUGCUGAUCCUUCGGAUUACGGCUCCCUCCUAUGGCAUCAAGCUCAUCCAUGAAAAUUAUACACGGCGAACUCUUUUUUGCAGCAGCAAACAGAUCCCUCACUCUACGUGCUCCAACACCAACAAACAUUUCUUCAAAUUCACUGCCACUGCAACAAAGAAUGGAACACCAGCUUCUCCGGCUAUGGCUCUUGCCAACAUAGUUUUCCCCGUGCCGGGGGGGCCAUAUAACAGAACACCUUUGGGAAGCUUGCCGCCAAGUCGUGUGAAACGCUGUAGUGAACAAGAUAACCAUAUGAAAUCCACAAAUCUUUCAUAACCUAGCAAAAGCAUGUCCCUCAACAAACCCUUCUCCCAAUAAACGGUGGAAUACUAAUCAAAUCUUGAUGACAAGAGAGAAUAAGGCAAAUGCUGAAUAAUGUAAACAAAAUUAAAUUAACAAAUCAUCUCAACUAAGACAGUUCUACCAUACUUCAGGGUGGUUACCAGGCUAUUUAAAAAUAUAACAACUGAUAAAACACUCAUUUAGUAGUAGGGUUUACAUUUCCAGGUGUAUUCAAGCAGAUAUUAUCAUUUUUCAUUCUUUGCAUCUGAAAACGACAAAAAAGACCUGCACAUUGAUAAAGACUCAUGCGCAGUUACCUUAGGAUCACGAAGGUAAUGAACAAUUUCUUCCAACUCAGCUUUUGCCUCAUCAACUCCCUUCACAUCAUGAACUUAGUAUUAGAUUCCAUAAUGGGUCGCACCUCUUCAUGUAAACCAAGUCCUGCUAAGAGCAAACAAUUAUGAUAGCUAGGAGCCUAGGACACACAUAAAUCAGUCAGAAAAGCAACUGAACGAACAAGCAGUUCACAAAAGGAUAUAUCAGUACCUUUACCAAUUCCUCUAUCCUCAAUGAGUGCACCAAAACCUGACAUGAGGAGGAAACAACACCCAAAGACGGAUAGUACGCCAUAUCGCUCUUUGAAAUUCCUCCUUCAGCAGUCACCAUAUGUAUAGGAGCACUUGAGUACCAAGAAUCCCAUCUUUUGAAGAUUUCCCUACAUUUCUGAAAGCCGAAAGAGCUCCAACACUUUCUUCAUCCACCAAUGAGUUAGUAGCUCCUAGAUCAAAAAGGUUCUUUAAAACCAAAAUAUAUUUAUUUUAACUAGAAUUUGCAGCCAUAUGUGAAGGGAGCUCAAUUGGUGGGGCCAUUCAUAAAGGCCAGUCAUAAAGCUGAUUAGAAAGUUUUGGAGGAACAGUUCUUUUACUCACCUCUGCGCAACGCCCUAAACAGCUCGCUUUCAUCAAGUUAUCAAGCCUAACAAGCGCUUUGACAUAUUCAGCAAGAGCAGAUGGAUUAGCAUGUAGCGAUGGAUGGCUCUCAAACAGCCUUAUGACUUCCUCUGGAUCAUUUCGGCGAGAGAGCUCUUUAAGAUAUGCGCAUCGAUUGAUCUCUCUGAUUCACGCAAUCUACGAGCUAAACUACCAAAGUGAUUCGGCUUUCCUAAGGUACUUGUUCCCAAGGGACUCAAAAGCUUGUGCACUAGAUAAGAAAAUUAAAGAUUCAGAAACAUGCGGACGCAAUGGUAAAAUGAAGUUACUAUAUAUAAGUGACAAAAACCACAGCAUUAGAAGUUUUCACUUAAUAAACAAAUCUGGACAUUGCAAUCCCGACUCCCGAGUGAACUUUGAGGUGCCAUAUACUACAAAUGAAGCUGUAGAUGGAAGCAGGGAACAGAAAGGCUCACAAAAAGAAACUCCCAAUUGCAAACCGAAAGGUAGAUGAUUACCAUUGAAUCAUAUGUACCAAUAACCUAUUACACAGCGGUCCCCACCAAAUAUUAUCAUUUUGGAGCCAAAACAACUUAUGAAUAAUACAAGCUACUUAAGUGCCAAGAAAUUAUCAAAACUAUGCUAUAUGAAACCUAGCCACUGAAUCUGAACUAAUCCAAUCAUACAUGCUCAAAAUCCAUUCCAUCUGACCAUGUUAGCAAUAAAGAUCAGUUAGAUUGAGUAGGGUAGCAAGUUUGAGCCUAACAGAGACUGGUGCAUACCUCCUCCCCUAGUGUAAGGGGAAGCUCGAUACGGUCGAGCAGCCAAAUUGCUCAGCUGCCUCAACUGAGACUCCUGUCUUCUGACCUGAAGCCACAAAUGCAUUUUUCAUGUAAGACCAGAGAUUGUAGCAUACGGACUCUAUCUAAAACAAGAUGAAUUCAACUAAACGCGCAUUAAGACGAUAGCUUCUAGAGUAACAAAGCACCAAUAACAUUACAUCAAAACACAGCUUGGUGAGAACAAAUAAUCAAUAAAAAUCCUAAAGAGAGCUAAUCAGAGCUGUAAACUGGCUGAUAAAAUUUCAAUCUUUCUUCUGAAAGCUAAUUAAAGCAUGUUUUUUUAAAAGGGAUCAUACUGAUAAUGAUCGCAAUACAUGUGUAUUCAUUAAUUAAUCUAAACGCGCAAAAUCGAUCAAUAAUUCCUCCGAAAUACAUUAAACAAGAAAGCAAAUGUCUUCAAAUUUACACUCGCCGCAUCUCAAAACAACAGAGCUAAAACUCACUCAUAAAAUCCACAAUCCACUGAAACACAUACAAAAACAAAUAAAUCCAAUUAACCUGAUUGAUGAGGCGCCUCAGUGCCAUCUUUCUCCAACAGCGACAGCAAACGCGGAAAAAUGAAACGCAGAAAAAGCACACACUCUUCAACUCCUCUUUUCAGUUGUUAAUCUAGGCGCCAAUUGAAGAGCACACAUAAAUUGAUCCAAAAUGUGAAGAAGAGAGAGAGAGAG
RNAcentral lists this long non-coding RNA (11467 nucleotides) under Salvia miltiorrhiza (redroot sage). RNAcentral's name for it is "long non-coding RNA (SMIL_LNC005783)". The record is from RNAcentral. Lineage: Eukaryota; Viridiplantae; Streptophyta; Magnoliopsida; Lamiales; Lamiaceae.